This 486-nucleotide ribosomal RNA is filed under the name uncultured bacterium. RNAcentral's name for it is "partial 16S ribosomal RNA". It matches the Rfam family "Bacterial small subunit ribosomal RNA", at positions 29 to 507 of the family's 1533-position model. The record is from RNAcentral.
AUUGAACGCUGGCGGCAUGCUUUACACAUGCAAGUCGAGCGGCAGCGCGGGGGCAACCCUGGCGGCGAGCGGCGAACGGGUGAGUAAUGCAUCGGAACGUAUCCUCGAGUGGGGGGUAACCCAGCGAAAGUUGGGCUAAUACCGCAUGAGCUCUGAGGAGGAAAGCGGGGGACCUGCGAGGGCCUCGCGCUGGAGGAGCGGCCGAUGUCCGAUUAGCUAGUUGGUGGGGUAAAGGCUUACCAAGGCGACGAUCGGUAGCUGGUCUGAGAGGAUGAUCAGCCACACUGGGACUGAGACACGGCCCAGACUCCUACGGGAGGCAGCAGUGGGGAAUUUUGGACAAUGGGGGCAACCCUGAUCCAGCCAUGCCGCGUGAGUGAAGAAGGCCUUCGGGUUGUAAAGCUCUUUCGGACGGAACGAAAUGGGCGGGACUAAUACUCCUGUCUGAUGACGGUACCGUAAGAAGAAGCACCGGCUAACUACGUG